RNAcentral lists this ribosomal RNA (697 nucleotides) under uncultured bacterium. RNAcentral describes it as "bacterial SSU rRNA". It matches the Rfam family "Bacterial small subunit ribosomal RNA", at positions 28 to 730 of the family's 1533-position model. The record is from RNAcentral.
GACGAACGCUGGCGGCGUGCCUAACACAUGCAAGUCGAACGAGGUCCAUGCAGUGGCAACACUGCGGACGACCUAGUGGCGAACGGGUGAGUAACACGUGAGGAACUUGCCCCGGAGACCGGGAUAACCCUCCGAAAGGAGAGCUAAUACCGGAUACCUCCACCUGGCCGCAUGACCGGGUGAAGAAAUGGAUUCCGCUCCGGGAGAGCCUCGCGGCCUAUCAGCUUGUUGGUGGGGUAACGGCCCACCAAGGCAUCGACGGGUAGCUGGUCUGAGAGGACGAUCAGCCACUCUGGGACUGAGACACGGCCCAGACUCCUACGGGAGGCAGCAGUGGGGAAUCUUGCGCAAUGGGCGAAAGCCUGACGCAGCAACGCCGCGUGCGGGAUGAAGGCCCUCGGGUUGUAAACCGCUUUCAGUGGGGACGAACCAAGACGGUACCCACAGAAGAAGCCCCGGCCAACUACGUGCCAGCAGCCGCGGUAACACGUAGGGGCAAGCGUUGUCCGGAUUAUUGGGCGUAAAAGAGCUCGUAGGGGGUUCGGUAAGUCGGGUGUGAAAACCUCCAGGCUCAACCUGGAGACGCCCACCCCGAUACUGCCGUGACUAGAGUCCAGUAGGGGGAGCGUGGAAUUCCUGGUGUAGCGGUGAAAUGCGCAGAUAUCAGGAGGAACACCAGCGGCGAAGGCGGCGCUCU